GCGGGAAAUCAGGUGGAAGCCUCUCUGGAGCUCCAUGGGCCUUCCCAGUCUCUGACGCACACCGCGAGGCCCCUUCCUGUAUAUGCCCUCGCUCUCUCGUUUCCCCACUCCGGAUCCCGUCCGUGCCCUCGAAACUUUUCACGAACCCCGUUCGUCGCCAUCGUGAGCGAUUAUCCGUUCCUCUUUCGCCCCCUCUCCCCAUCUUCCUCAAAACCUAGAGAACCCCAUCUAGGGUUUCUCUUUUCUUCUCAUCGUCAGGGAAUCUAUCCAGCCCCACGCUUCAAUCGGAGUUCUGAGAUCGCGAAAAUGGCCGACGCGUUCAAGGACGACGCGGAGCAGACGGUGACGAUCGGCGAGUACAUCGAGGGGCUCGAGGCAGAAGAGCUGGAAGCUGAUUUAGUUUUGGGAGGGGACGAAGGCAAGGAAUGCACUUACGCCGAUGGGUAUAUGAAGAGGCAAGCUAUCUUCUCCUGUUUGACUUGUGUCCCAGCCGGCAACGCAGGGGUUUGCACGGCCUGUAGCCUCUCCUGCCACGAUGGCCACGAGGUUGUGGAGCUCUGGACUAAGAGAAAGUUUCGUUGUGAUUGCGGCAAUUCAAAGUUUGGAGAGUUCUUCUGCAAGCUUUUUGCUAAUAAAGAUUCCGAAAACAUUGAGAACACUUACAACCAUAACUUUAAAGGUUCUUAUUGCACAUGCAGUCGCCCUUAUCCUGAUCCAGAUGCUAAAGAGCAAGUAGAAAUGAUACAGUGCUGCAUCUGUGAGGACUGGUUUCACGAGAAUCACCUUGGUCUCAAUUCUUCCAAUGAGAUACCAAGAGAUGAGGAAGGAGAACCCUUAUAUGAGGAUUGUAUCUGCCAAGAAUGUGCAGUCACUUGUUCAUUCUUGAAACUUUAUCCAGCUUGUAUUUGGGCUACUUUGAAGCAAAAAAGUACAGCACCUGUAAGCAGCAAUGAGGGAAAUGUGCCAGAAGAUGGAUCCUCAGCUAGCACACAUUCUGAGAAAAUUGCAAAUAACAUUAUUGUUUCUGAGAAUUUGGGGAAUUGUUCGAACACCUUUUCAGAAUCUGAAACUGUGCCUAAUGAGAAGAAUUCCUUUCAUGGUGAAAGUACAGCAAAAGAUUUCAAUUUGCAGAAGACUCAAGCAUGUGACAGUAAUAAAGAACCAAGUCCUAAAUGCAUACUUGAAGUGGAUAUAAAUUCAAUGUCAGCUAUCUCGGAGAAAAAAGGGCCCAUGUUCCUUUCAAAAAAAUGGAGAGAUCUUCUUUGCAGAUGUAGUUCAUGUUGUGGGUUCUAUGCUCGGGAAGGUAUUGACUAUCUAAUUGACAGGGAGGACUCGAUUGAGGAAUAUGAGAAAAUGGCAAAACGGAAGAGGGAUGAGAAGUUGCAGCAGCAGGAAGGAGCGGAAUUAGACUUUCUCAAUACACUCAAUCAUGUUCAAAAAAUAGAAAUCCUAAGUGGCAUUGCUGACAUGAAGAAUGAGUUCCAAUCCUUCCUGGGAAAUAUCAAAGCAAUAGGUGGUGGCAUGAAAACAUAGUUCAUUGUAUAACAUUUAAUUCUACUGCUUUGUCUUCUCACUUAUCCUGUUUAUUUGGAAAUAUUGUUUCAAGAGCUUAGAACACUUUAUCAAGGCAUUAGAUUUAAUUUGUUAAGUUUCAAGUAAGAGCUACUGUCUGGGAGAACCAUUAUGCUCUUUUACUUUGAAUUGCUAACCCUAUAAAGUUUGUAGAAGGAUGCUCCCAACUUUUUUUUUUUUCCAUUCAUUUAUCAAUCGUAGAUAAUAUUAGUUCAGUGGGCUAAUAUAAACUCUAAUUAUUUGUCUUCAGUUUUUGUGGUUGAAGUUCAUUUCAAGUGUUUCUUGGGCAUCUAUAUAAAAUGACUGGCAUCUGACUCUGGUACCCUUCAAUUAUAUGGAAGCACCAAGUUUUCAAUGAGGCAAUAGAUUGUAAAAUUACAAAGUACAUAUAGCGGCAAAGUAGUAGUAGAAGUCUGCAAAUACUAAGGAAUCUUUUGACUCAUCAAAGCCGGUUACAUCAGCGGAUAUACGAGGAGUCUUUGAAAAUCUUGCCAAGAAGAAGAAACAAAGGUUAUUAUAAGGUUUUUCACAAUACCUCAGAUCCUUUUUCCAUGUGUACUUGCUGCACCUGCUGUGGAUCUGAUUUUAACCAUUUGGGCUUUGAAAAAAGACAUUCAGCAUGGUUGUAUAGUCAACCCUAAGUUACAGAUCCCCAACUUUGAACGUGAUUGGCUGAUCUAUAUUUCAGCAAAGUUCACCAGGUCCUUUGUAACGGCUUCUGUGAUGCAACGCCAAUGGAUAUUGGGAUAUUUUGCUCGACUAUGAUAUUAGCCAAUGAUAUUUAUCAUAUUUAGAAGCUGGCAGUUUCUCAA
Phoenix dactylifera (date palm) is the source of this 2384-nucleotide non-coding RNA. The record is from RefSeq and is a predicted model, not a curated record. Lineage: Eukaryota; Viridiplantae; Streptophyta; Magnoliopsida; Arecales; Arecaceae.